AGCGAACGCUGGCGGCAGGCUUAACACAUGCAAGUCGAGCGGGCACUUUCGAGUGUCAGCGGCUGACGGGUGAGUAACGCGUGGAGAAGUGCCCUCGGGUUCGGAAUAACUCAGGGAAACUUGAGCUAAUACCGGAUACGCCCUUUUGGGGAAAGGCUUGCUGCCGGAGGAUCGGCCCGCGUCUGAUUAGCGAGUGGGUGAGGUAACGGCUCACCAAGGCGACGAUCAGGAGCUGGUCUGAGAGGAUGAUCAGCCACACUGGGACUGAGACACGGCCCAGACUCCUACGGGAGGCAGCAGUGGGGAAUAUUGGACGAUGGGCGCAAGCCUGAUCCAGCCAUGCCGCGUGAGUGAUGAAGGCCUUAGGGUUGUAAAGCUCUUUUAUCCGGGACGAUAAUGACGGUACCGGAGGAAUAAGCCCCGGCUAACUUCGUG
This 435-nucleotide ribosomal RNA is filed under the name uncultured bacterium. RNAcentral's name for it is "partial 16S ribosomal RNA". It matches the Rfam family "Bacterial small subunit ribosomal RNA", at positions 29 to 507 of the family's 1533-position model. The record is from RNAcentral.